This 301-nucleotide ribosomal RNA is filed under the name uncultured bacterium. Its description in RNAcentral is "partial 16S ribosomal RNA". It matches the Rfam family "Bacterial small subunit ribosomal RNA", at positions 509 to 807 of the family's 1533-position model. The record is from RNAcentral.
CAGCCGCCGCGGUAAUACGGAGGGUGCAAGCGUUAAUCGGAAUUACUGGGCGUAAAGCGCACGCAGGCGGUCUGACAAGUCAGAUGUGAAAUCCCCGGGCUUAACCUGGGAACUGCAUUUGAAACUGUCAGGCUGGAGUCUUGUAGAGGGGGGUAGAAUUCCAGGUGUAGCGGUGAAAUGCGUAGAGAUCUGGAGGAAUACCGGUGGCGAAGGCGGCCCCCUGGACAAAGACUGACGCUCAGGUGCGAAAGCGUGGGGAGCAAACAGGAUUAGAGACCCGUGUAGUCCCUGUCUCUUAUAC